This 143-nucleotide small RNA is filed under the name Flavobacterium sp. KMS. Its description in RNAcentral is "Flavo-1 RNA". It matches the Rfam family "Flavo-1 RNA". The record is from Rfam by way of RNAcentral. Lineage: Bacteria; Pseudomonadati; Bacteroidota; Flavobacteriia; Flavobacteriales; Flavobacteriaceae.
UUUUAGCCCCGAUUGUAGUGUAAAGCCUUUUUGAGAAAAGACCUUAUUUUUUCUUGGGUUUACAAAGUGACCAGCGGAAACUUUGUAAACGUAUAGAAAAAUGGGAUUUUAAGAAAAGCUUGCAACGGAAAGCGGGUCCCGAA